This 201-nucleotide microRNA precursor is filed under the name Ricinus communis (castor bean). RNAcentral's name for it is "MIR159 microRNA precursor family". It matches the Rfam family "MIR159 microRNA precursor family". Lineage: Eukaryota; Viridiplantae; Streptophyta; Magnoliopsida; Malpighiales; Euphorbiaceae. The record is from Rfam by way of RNAcentral.
UAUAUAUAUGCGGAGCUCCUUUUGGUCCAAAAUGAGGACUCUGAAAGAGGGCAUAGCAGGUCUGCUAGUUCAUGGAUACCUAUGGGUUGCAGUUGGAAACUAACACAUUUUUGCGCAGCUUAAGGGUUUGCAUGACCUGGGAGACGUGUUUCCCUUCCCCUUUCCUUAAUUGGAUUGAAGGGAGCUCCUCCUGUUUAUUUG